CCUACGGGAGGCAGCAGUGGGGAAUAUUGCACAAUGGGCGAAAGCCUGAUGCAGCAACGCCGCGUGAAGGAAGACGGUUUUCGGAUUUUAAACUUCUGUUCUUAGUGAAGUAUAAUGACGGUAACUAAGGAUCAAGCCACGGCUAACUACGUGCCAGCAGCCGCGGUAAUACGUAGGUUGCAAUCGUUGUCCGGAAUUACUGGGUGUAAAGGGAGCGUAGGCGGGAGGCCAAGUCAGCUGUGAAAGCUACGGGCUUAACCUGUAGACUGCAGUUGAAACUGGCUGUCUUGAGUGAAGUAGAGGUUGGCGGAAUUCCGGGUGUAGCGGUGAAAUGCGUAGAUAUUAGGAGGAACACCGAUGGCGAAGGCGGCUAACUGGGCUUUAACUGACGCUGAGGCUCGAAAGUGUGGGGAGCAAACAGGAUUAGAUACCCGAGUAGUC
This 441-nucleotide ribosomal RNA is filed under the name uncultured bacterium. RNAcentral describes it as "partial 16S ribosomal RNA". It matches the Rfam family "Bacterial small subunit ribosomal RNA", at positions 338 to 795 of the family's 1533-position model. The record is from RNAcentral.